UACGAAGGGUGCAAGCGUUACUCGGAAUUACUGGGCGUAAAGGGUGCGUAGGCGGGUUUUUAAGUCAGGGGUGAAAUCCUGGAGCUCAACUCCAGAACUGCCUUUGAUACUGAAGAUCUCGAGUCCGGGAGAGGUGAGUGGAACUGCGAGUGUAGAGGUGAAAUUCGUAGAUAUUCGCAAGAACACCAGUGGCGAAGGCGGCUCACUGGCCCGGUACUGACGCUGAGGCACGAAAGCGUGGGGAGCAAACAGG
Molecule: ribosomal RNA, 253 nt
Filed under: uncultured bacterium
Lineage: Bacteria
Description: partial 16S ribosomal RNA
Rfam family: Bacterial small subunit ribosomal RNA
Source: RNAcentral